AUAAAAGAAAAAAGCAAAAUAAGAGCGAACGGUGGAUGCCUAGGCUCUGGGAGGCGAUGAAGGACGUGAUAAGCUGCGAUAAGCUUCGGGUAGGUGCAAAUAACCAUUGAUCCGGGGAUUUCCGAAUGGGGCAACCCAAUACAGUGAAGCUGUAUUAUUCCAUGUUAUAUGGAAGGCGAACGAGGGGAACUGAAACAUCUAAGUACCCUUAGGAGAAGAAAACAAAAGUGAUUCCGCAAGUAGUGGCGAGCGAACGCGGAAUAGCCCAAACCAAUGAUGUAGCAAUGCAUUAUUGGGGUUGUAGGACUGCGAUAUAAAAGAAGUAAAUGAAUUAGAAGUGCGUUGGAAAGCGCCCCAGUAUACGGUGAUAGGCCGGUAUAAGUAAGUUUACGAUUUUUAGCAGUAUCCUGAGUAGCGCGGGACACGAGAAAUCCUGUGUGAAUCCGGCGGGACCAUCCGCUAAGGCUAAAUACUCCCCAGAGACCGAUAGUGAACCAGUACCGUGAGGGAAAGGUGAAAAGUACUUCGAACAGAAGAGUGAAAUAGACCCUGAACCCGUUCGCUUACAAGCGGUCGGAGCAGCUUUGUGCUGUGACGGCGUGCCUUUUGCAUAAUGAACCUACGAGUUACUCUCACUGGCAAGGUUAAGGUCUUCAGGACCGUAAGCCGAAGCGAAAGCGAGUCUUAACAGGGCGCUAUAAGUCAGUGUGAGUAGACGCGAAACCAAGUGAUCUACCCUUGAGCAGGUUGAAGUUUGGGUAACACCAAAUGGAGGACCGAACUGUUUGACGUUGAAAAGUCUUCGGAUGACUUGAGGGUAGGGGUGAAAGGCUAAUCAAACUUGGAGAUAGCUCGUACUCCCCGAAAUGCAUUUAGGUGCAGCCUUUAGAUAGUUUAUAAGAGGUAGAGCGACUGAUUGGAUGCGAGGGUUUCACCGCCUAUCAAGUCCUGACAAACUCCGAAUGCUUAUAAAUAUUUCUGAGGAGUGAGGGCGCGGGUGCUAAGGUCCGCGUCCGAGAGGAAAAGAAUCCAGACCACCGGCUAAGGUCCCCAAAUAUAUGCUAAGUUGAAUUAACGAGGUCGAACUGCACAGACAGCUAGGAUGUUGGCUUGGAAGCAGCCAUUCAUUUAAAGAGUGCGUAACAGCUCACUAGUCGAGCGGUUUGGCAUGGAUAAUAAUCGGGCAUAAGCAUAUUACCGAAGCCGUGGGAUCUAUAAAUUAGAUCGGUAGGGGAGCAUUCCAGUACAGCGUAGAAGGUUUAAGGAUAACUUAGACUGGAGCGGCUGGAAAAGCAAAUGUAGGUAUAAGUAACGAUAAGGAGGGCGAGAAACCCUCCCGCCGGAAGACUAAGGAUUCCUGAUCAACGCUAAUCGGAUCAGGGUUAGUCGGGGCCUAAGGUAUAGCCGACAGGCGAAGCCGAUGGAAGAACAGGUUAAUAUUCCUGUACUACGCUAUGGAGUGAUGUGGGGACGGAGAAGUGACAGUCCUGCCUGGUGACGGAAUACCAGGUUGAAGGGUGUAGAUAUUGAGGGGGGUAGGCAAAUCCGCUCCCUGAGUCGAACCUGAAAGUACCGUGCGUACUUGUACAAACGGAUAUGGAUGUAAACAGGCUCCCAAGAAAAACCGCUAAACGCUAAUUCAUAGUGUACCCGUACUACAAACGGACACACGUGGUCAAGUAGAGAAUACUAAGGCGCUCGAGUGAAUCACAGCUAAGGAACUAGGCAAAAUAGUCUCGUAACUUCGGGAAAAGAGACGCUUCCUCCAGUUGAUGGAGAAGCCGCAGAGAAAUGGCCCAGGCGACUGUUUAACAAAAACAUAGGGCUUUGCAAAUUCGAAAGAAGAAGUAUAAGGCCUGACACCUGCCCGGUGCUGGAAGGUUAAGAGGAGAUGUUAUUCGCAAGGAGAAGCAUUGAAUUGAAGCCCCAGUAAACGGCGGCCGUAACUAUAACGGUCCUAAGGUAGCGAAAUUCCUUGUCGGGUAAGUUCCGACCUGCACGAAUGGUGUAACGAUCUGGGCACUGUCUCAGCUGUGA
Molecule: ribosomal RNA, 2037 nt
Filed under: bacterium
Lineage: Bacteria
Description: partial 23S ribosomal RNA
Rfam family: Bacterial large subunit ribosomal RNA
Source: RNAcentral